This 67-nucleotide transfer RNA is filed under the name Cyrtodactylus bintangrendah. RNAcentral describes it as "tRNA-Ala". Lineage: Eukaryota; Metazoa; Chordata; Lepidosauria; Squamata; Gekkonidae. The record is from RNAcentral.
GAGGCCUUAGCUUAAUUAAAGUGUCUGGGUUGCAGUCAGAAGAUGUGGUGUUCACAGGCCUUCADAA